CUCGGCGGGCCAGAUGGAGGCGUAGUUAGGCUAAAAUGGGCUUUAGGAUUGGUCAGCUCCAAGACUCUUCAAGUGAGGGGGCGGUGCUUGGAGAGUGGGCCUGUUAGUGAGUGGGCGUGGCCUGCAAGAGGAUCUGGUUCCUCCAGUGAACCCGCCAGAGAAAUUCCCACAAUCCAAGGGCCUUCUGAAUGCCCCUGAGUUGUUUCCUUUUUUCAGUAUUUCCAUGCAUUCAAUUAUUUCUUGUGAAUAUGCAAUUGAUUAUUGUGACUACCUAUAGCCAGCACCAUCUCUUGUCUACACCAGGAGAGCCUCAUCUGUUCUCAGGAAUUCAUUUUGUAGCUUUAAAGUAACUCCAUUUGACCCGUGUGAAUUCUCUCCCGGACUCUGCUCUCUGCUGAUUUUCUGCACGAGUGUUUGUGAGUUCUAUUUGCUGUCAUCUCACAGGUUUGAUGGAGAGAAACCGCUUAAACUGACAGUGACUGAUGGUGAAUGGGACAGACAGUGAGCCUGACGGGUGGCAAUAGCCUGGCAGUGACAACCUACAGGUGAUAACUUCGUGGUGACUCUAGUUGUGCUACUGUUUCUGAUAGGACCUUUCUGAUGGAGCAAAGUCAUAUGUAGCAUACACUGUUUCCACUUGUAUGUUAAUAGUGACAAGAACAUCACGGUAGAGGGUGCUGUAGAGAAGGUCUUCUCGUGAUAUUGGAGAAGCGAAGAGAGAGAGAGGGACGUAGGAAGGCAAGCCUCAGGUAUGCUCUACAAAGGCAUGUCCCCAAUGACCAAACUCCCUUCCAUUAGGCCCCUUAGACUAAAGGUUCUACAAUCUCCCAAUAGUGUCACAGGCUGGAAAACAAGCUUUCAGCAUUUGGGCCUCUGGAGGACACUCAAGAGCCACCCUAUCAUGGUAUAAUAAUAAACAAUGACAUGUGUAAAAUUC
Molecule: long non-coding RNA, 937 nt
Organism: Mus musculus (house mouse)
Lineage: Eukaryota; Metazoa; Chordata; Mammalia; Rodentia; Muridae
Product: predicted gene, 39202
Exons: 3
Source: RefSeq, a predicted model, not a curated record